CCCCCACCUUAAGCUCCUACUUUGAUAGAAUCAGAACCUAUUUUGUAUCUCCUAUCACAGGGUGAGGCUGAAACCAACAUCGAGUCUAAAUAACAACAAAAGAACUACAAUAGAGAGAGCAAAGGUAACCAACUAUCAAACCCGAACUGCCGUCCAGUAAGCUUGAUUAAGAACCACACAACGAUCGGGCAUCUGGAAAUGGAAGAGAAUAACGAUAAGCACCGGAAGGUCUAGAUGGAAGAUAAAUUGUAUUAGAAGAAAUACUAUACUAACUCCCUCUGCCACCCUCGAAAAACAUAUCAUGACCAUCAAAGGAUUGAUUGUGUGCAAUAACUGACUAAGAUUAGCCCUACCUUAAGCCCUACUUUGAUAAAAUUAAAACUUAAUUUUUAUCUCAUGUCAUAGGGUGGGGCAGAAAACAAUAUCACGUCUAUGUACAAACAAAAAUUGUUGAAAUGACAAAAGAUAACCAAACAUCAAACCAGAAGUGUCAUCCAGUUAAGAACCACCCCACGAUCAGACAUCUGGAAAUUGAAGAGUAUAUCUAUAAGCACGGGAAACUCUAGGUAGAAGAGAAAAUGUAUAGAAAUAAAAAUACUAUUAUGUACUCCCUUUGCCACCCUCGAUUAACACAAUAUCAAUGACUCAUCAAAGAUCUGUCCGCGUCCAAAAACCAGACCAAGAUAGCCCCCACAUUAAGCUCCUACAGUGAUGGAAUCAAAACCUAUUUUGUAUCUCCUGUCACAGGGUAGGCCCAAAACAAUAUCCAAGUCUAUAUAACAACAAAAGAAUAUAAUAGAGAGAUCAAAUGCAACCAAUUAUGAACCCAGAACUGCCUUCCAGUUAAGCUUGAUUAAGAACCAAACAACGAUCAGGCAUCUGGAAAUCGAAGAGAAUAACAAUAAGCACGGGAAAGUCAAGAUGGAAGAUAAAUUGUAGCAGAAUUAAUACAAUACUAUACUCCCUCUGACACCCUCGAUAAACAUUAUAUCAGUGACAGCAUCAAAAGUUGAUGUCUCCAGUAACUAGACCAAGAUUAGCCCCACCAUAAGCUGCUUCUUUCACAACUUAAUUUUUAACUCCUGUCACAAGGUGAGGCAGAAAACAAUAUCCACGUCUACGUAACAAAUAAAAGAUUGUUGAAACUGACAAAAGAUAACCAAGCAUACCAGAAGUGCCUUCCAGUUAAGAACCACACAACAAUCAGACAUCUGGAAAUUGAAGAGUAUAACUAUUAGCACGGGAAACUCUAGGUAGAAGAGAAAAUGUAGGUAGAAAAAAAAUACUAUUAGUACUCCCUUUACCACCCACUAUUAACACUAUAUCAAUGACAGCAUGAAGGAUUUGUCAGUGUCCAAAAACCAGACCAAGACAGCCCCCACCUUAAGCUCCUACUUGAUAGAAUCAGAACCUAUUUUGUAUCUCCUAUCACAGGGUGAGGCUGAAACCAACAUCCGAGUCUAAAUAACAACAAAAGAACUACAAUAGAGAGAGCAAAGGUAACCAACUAUCAAACCCGAACUGCCGUCCAGUUAAGCUUGAUUAAGAACCACACAACGAUCGGGCAUCUGGAAAUGAAGAGAAUAACGAUAAGCACCGGAAGGUCUAGAUGGAAGAUAAAUUGUAUAGAAGAAAUACUAUACUAUACUCCCUCUGCCACCCUCGAUAAACACACUAUAUAGUGACCACGUCAAAGGAUUGACUUGUGUGCAAUAACUUGACUAAGAUUAGCCCUACCUUAAGCUCCUACUUGAUAAAAUUAAAACUUAAUUUUUAUCUCAUGUCAUAGGGUGGGGCAGAAAACAAUAUCCACGUCUAUGUAGCAAACAAAAUUGUUGAACUGACAAAAGAUAACCAAACAUCAAACAGAAGUGUCUCCAGUUAAGAACCACCCCACGAUCAGACAUCUGGAAAUUGAAGAGUAUAUCUAUAAGCACGGGAAACUCGAGGUAGAAGAGAAAAUGUAGUAGAAUAAAAAUACUAUUAUGUACUCCCUUUGCCACCCUCGAUUAACACAAUAUCAAUGACUACAUCAAAGAUCUGUCGCGUCCAAAAACCAGACCAAGAUAGCCCCCACAUUAAGCUCCUACAGUGAUGGAAUCAAAACCUAUUUUGUAUCUCCUGUCACAGGGUAGGCUCAAAACAAUAUCCAAGUCUAUAUAACAACAAAAGAAAUAUAAUAGAGAGAUCAAAUGCAACCAAUUAUGAACCCAGAACUGCCUUCCAGUUAAGCUUGAUUAAGAACCAAACAACGAUCAGGCAUCUGGAAAUCGAAGAGAAUAACAAUAAGCACGGGAAAGUCAAGAUGGAAGAUAAAUUGUAGCAGAAUUAAUACAAUACUAUACUCCCUCUGACACCCUCGAUAAACAUUAUAUCAGUGACAGCAUCAAAAGUUGAUAGUCUCCAUAACUAGACCAAGAUUAGCCCCACCAUAAGUGCUUCUUUCACAACUUAAUUUUUAACCCCUGUCACAAGGUGAGGCAGAAAACAAUAUCCACGUCUACGUAACAAAUAAAAGAUUGUUGAAACUGACAAAAGAUAACCAAGCAUACCAGAAGUGCCUUCCAGUUAAGAACCACACAACA
Molecule: long non-coding RNA, 2585 nt
Filed under: Salvia miltiorrhiza (redroot sage)
Lineage: Eukaryota; Viridiplantae; Streptophyta; Magnoliopsida; Lamiales; Lamiaceae
Description: long non-coding RNA (SMIL_LNC005899)
Source: RNAcentral